RNAcentral lists this transfer RNA (67 nucleotides) under Wiedomys cerradensis (cerrado red-nosed mouse). RNAcentral's name for it is "tRNA-Lys". The record is from RNAcentral. Lineage: Eukaryota; Metazoa; Chordata; Mammalia; Rodentia; Cricetidae.
UCGUUAUGAAGCUCUUCAGCGUUAGCCUUUUAAGCUAAAGAAGGGAAAUAAAACUUUCCCCAUAACG